Molecule: ribosomal RNA, 485 nt
Filed under: unidentified low G+C gram-positive bacterium
Lineage: Bacteria; Bacillati; Bacillota
Description: bacterial SSU rRNA
Rfam family: Bacterial small subunit ribosomal RNA
Source: RNAcentral
GAUGAACGCUGGCGGCGUGCCUAAUACAUGCAAGUCGAGCGAACCUCUUCGGAGGUUAGCGGCGGACGGGUGAGUAACACGUGGGUAACCUGCCUGUAAGACUGGGAUAACUUCGGGAAACCGAAGCUAAUACCGGAUACUUUUUUAAGUCGCAUGACUCGAAAUGGAAAGNCGGCUUCGGCUGUCACUUACAGAUGGACCCGCGUCGCAUUAGCUAGUUGGUGAGGUAACGGCUCACCAAGGCGACGAUGCGUAGCCGACCUGAGAGGGUGAUCGGCCACACUGGGACUGAGACACGGCCCAGACUGCUACGGGAGGCAGCAGUAGGGAAUCUUCGGCAAUGGGCGAAAGCCUGACCGAGCAACGCCGCGUGAGUGAUGAAGGCUUUCGGGUCGUAAAACUCUGUUGUUAGGGAAGGANAAGUACGAGAGUAACUGCUCGUACCUUGACGGUACCUAACCAGAAAGCCACGGCUAACUACGUGC